This 323-nucleotide unclassified non-coding RNA is filed under the name Basidiomycota sp. RNAcentral describes it as "partial contains small subunit ribosomal RNA, internal transcribed spacer 1, and 5.8S ribosomal RNA". The stretch from base 1 to 47 matches the Rfam family "Eukaryotic small subunit ribosomal RNA", at positions 1785 to 1831 of the family's 1831-position model. Lineage: Eukaryota; Fungi; Basidiomycota. The record is from RNAcentral.
AAAGUCGUAACAAGGUUUCCGUAGGUGAACCUGCGGAAGGAUCAUUAUUGAAUAAACUUGAUGGAUUGUUGCUGGCUCCUCUCAGAGCAAGUGCACGUCUAUCAUUUUUAUCUUUCCACCAUGUGCACCAUGCAUAGACCUGAACGUUUUGCUGAUCAAAACAAAUGCUUUGAUUUCUGGGAAUUGCUGUUGCAGUGCGGCUUUUUCUGUGGUUCUGGUUCUAUGAUUUUUAUACACACCAAUGUAUGUUAAUGAACGUUAUAAUAGGCUCUAUGCCUUAUAAAUCUAUAAUACAACUUUCAGCAACGGAUCUCUUGGCUCUC